UUUGCUUAAUUUAUAUGUGGUAUAUAAUAUAAUAUUUACAACAGCUUAAAUUUUAGAAAACUUAAUCUCCACUGUAUAUUAAUUGAGGAUCAAUGGUGGGGAUGGAUCCAUCAGCUCUCUGUCUAAACAAAACCUGUGCCAAACCUAGACACUCUGGUUUAGUGCAGUCGUUACUUCUCUCUCUCUAAACCAAACACACAGGUUGCUUGCUUCUCUCUCUUUCUAAACCAAACACAGUGUGAAUCACAAAUCUUUUUGAACCAAACGUUCUACGGGUUCAAGCUGCUAUUUUGUCAAGCUUGAAGCCACCAUCGGCCAUCGCUCUUUUGUCUGACCAUUGAAACAUAGUCGCUCAAAAAAGAUAUCGACUUUACUUGCCCAGGUCUCAGGUGCACGAGUGCAUAUUGGCUUCACAUAGAAUUGGUGAAAUUAUUUCCUUACAAGGAGAAGCAGAGACUGCAGCAUAAGCCUUGUCUUUGGAAGACUUUUGUGUUGUGUUGUCUCGGUUCAUAGAAUUGCAUCAUUGUUCUUUGCUACAUGUUGGAUCUUCGGGUUCUCUUGGUUUUAGGUGUUGAUAACAUUGUAACUUGAUUUUUUUCAUGUGGUGCUCGAAUGGAAUAUUGGUAUGCUCUGGGUUAUUGAUCAUUGGUUAGGUAGGUGAAAGUGCUUGUGUCUGCGGAAGGAGUUGUUGAGUAGGAGAUGUUCUCUCUCUCUAAAAACUACUUGGUUUUUCUGUCUUGUUUUGGAACUAAUAUGUGGCUCUCUCUCUAAAACAAGUGGUUUUCUCUCUAAGACCUAGGUGAUUUAUAUCUGAUAUUGGGUAAUGGGAUAAGUGGUUCUCUCUCAAAAAACUGGGUGCUCUCUCUCAUGUUGGGGAGGAUAAUGACAUAAUGUGUAUAUAUGUAUUGGGUUAUUUGUUUCUGGUUUUAACUUAAA
This is an RNA transcript of Amborella trichopoda, 936 nucleotides long. RefSeq lists it as uncharacterized. The record is from RefSeq and is a predicted model, not a curated record. Lineage: Eukaryota; Viridiplantae; Streptophyta; Magnoliopsida; Amborellales; Amborellaceae.